This 253-nucleotide ribosomal RNA is filed under the name uncultured Eubacteriales bacterium. RNAcentral's name for it is "uncultured Clostridiales bacterium partial 16S ribosomal RNA". It matches the Rfam family "Bacterial small subunit ribosomal RNA", at positions 524 to 776 of the family's 1533-position model. Lineage: Bacteria; Bacillati; Bacillota; Clostridia; Eubacteriales. The record is from RNAcentral.
UACGUAGGGGGCAAGCGUUAUCCGGAAUCACUGGGUGUAAAGGGAGCGUAGACGGCUGUGCAAGCCUGAAGUGAAAGGCGGGGGCCCAACCCCUGGACUGCUUUGGGAACUGUACGGCUGGAGUGUCGGAGAGGCAGGCGGAAUUCCUAGUGUAGCGGUGAAAUGCGUAGAUAUUAGGAGGAACACCAGUGGCGAAGGCGGCCUGCUGGACGAUGACUGACGUUGAGGCUCGAAAGCGUGGGGAGCAAACAGG